GUUUGAAAUAUUCUUUUGGCUUGGCUCGGUAUUUACACAUCAAGUCAUUGUGUUAGUGUUACGGUAAUCUUUUGUAUUAUUGUCAUUCAUGUUUGCUUUUGUGCUUUGUUUAUAGAGUAUGUACAUGCCUAUUUGUUUUUUGUUGACAUAGUUGUGUUUUUACAGUAAUCAAGGAUGUUCGCUUGUCAUGUUUUGAGAUUUUUGUCAGAUUUUC
RNAcentral lists this long non-coding RNA (214 nucleotides) under Mytilus galloprovincialis (Mediterranean mussel). Lineage: Eukaryota; Metazoa; Mollusca; Bivalvia; Mytilida; Mytilidae. The record is from RNAcentral.